This 1021-nucleotide long non-coding RNA is filed under the name Gossypium raimondii (Peruvian cotton). RNAcentral's name for it is "long non-coding RNA (GRAI_LNC004343)". Lineage: Eukaryota; Viridiplantae; Streptophyta; Magnoliopsida; Malvales; Malvaceae. The record is from RNAcentral.
AAAAAUGCUAAAAAAACCAAGAAUAUUAAAGAUGAAAUGUCAUAAAAAAACGUAAAUUAAAUUAAAAGUGGGUAAAAAAGAAAAUUACCAAAAACUUGAAAAUACGAGCUUGAUGAACAGAAUAAUCGACCUUUUUUCCUAUUUUUCCUAUUUUCUUCUUUUCUCUUUCUUUUUUCUCUUUUUCUUCUCUUUUCUUUUUCUUUUUUUUUUCUGCUGGGCUAAUGGGCGAACUGGGCCUAUUGGGCUGUUGUAGGUUGAGCUGUUGGGCCGCUGGAGUUGGGCCUGUGCUGGGCUGCUGCAGGCUUGCUAAUUUGGAUGCUAUUGGGCUAGCCUAAUAGGCCUGCUAUGGGCUGCUUUUUUUUUAUGCUUUUUUUCUUUUUUCUUUUUCUUUUUCUUCUUCUUCCUUUCUUUUUCAAAACCCUAGCCCCACGUCGCCGCUUGUGCUGUCGCCGUCGUCUUCGCCGUCGAGCCGCCGUCGGAGGCUCUCCUCUACUUCUCUUUUCUUCUCUCUUUCUCUCCUUUUUCCUCUUCUUUUUCUCUUUUUUGCAAGUUUUUUUUUUGAUUUUUUCGUGGGUGUGGGGGUUCCGAUUUUGGGGGUUUAAACCCAUUUUAUAGUUGUUUUUCUCUUCUUUUUUUGCAGAGAUUAGGUGGCUAGGGGAGAGGGAGGCCAUGCCUUAGGCCGGUGACCGGAAAUCACGAAAAUCAAGGGUGUAGGUGUGCAAGUUGCUGUCAGAAGGACCAAAUUGCAAACACAGCAAAAUUUCUGGGGCCAAAGUGUAAUUGCAAGAAAAUUUUGGGUCAAAAUGUAAUUUUGAGAUAGUUCAGCGGUCAAAAUGAAAUUUCAAAAGGUUUAAAGGUCAUAAUGUAAUUUUAAAAAGUUUAGUGGUUAAAAUGCAAUUUUAAAAAGUUUAGGGGUCAAAAUAUAAUUUUUUAUUUUUUGUAUUUUUUGAUUUUUUUAUUAAAAAAAGAAAUCGAGCCGGACAAAAUUCAGUGAUUACAAACAUGUAUCAGGGUUUCAUCA